This 954-nucleotide long non-coding RNA is filed under the name Danio rerio (zebrafish). RNAcentral's name for it is "long non-coding RNA NONDRET014027". The record is from RNAcentral. Lineage: Eukaryota; Metazoa; Chordata; Actinopteri; Cypriniformes; Danionidae.
ACAGGCACAGCUUUAACACAACAGCAGCCUUUUCAAAGUGGACAGAAUUCUUUGAGAUUCAAUCUAAAGCUAAGUAUUUUGUUUCAGUUGUUUGUACUGCCUUGUAAUACAGUCACAUUUUCAGCAUAAUGUUAAAUCUUAGUCUCAUUCAAGUGUUGUGUUUUUUUAUGUUUUUACUACCAGAAGACCCAAGAAGAUGUGUUGACUGAGAAAACAAAUGUCCUGCAGUAUUGUUGAGGAAGACAUCUGCCUAACUAUAUAUUGGAGAAGACCAGGUGUAUGCGCACUACGGCAUUGCAGAAUGAUAGACCAGAGGAAGAACAUCUCUAAUACAGAGGUAUUCUGAAACAAGAGAAGACCAGGUGUUUGGCAUUGCACACCACAGCAUUGCAGGAUGACGGACCAGAGGAUAUAAAGUCUGUGCAUGCCAGAUCCAGAGGCCAGAUGGUGGAAGACGGUUUCCUGCAACAUUUAGAUAAUUUUAACGUUGUUUAAAAAUGUUAUUAGCUUAUACAUUUAAAAAAUGUUGUUACGUGCCACGCCCAAGGAAGAUGGGUACUCCCUUGCUGAGUCUGGUCUUUCCAAGGUUUCUCUCCAAACUUUUUGGAGUUUUUUUCCUUGCCACAGUCGCCAAUGGCUUGCUCACAGGGGGUGUUGUGCCAAGUCCUGUCUUCCCCUCGGGUCCUUUAUCUUUAAACUUAGAUUCCAUAGUAAUUUAGCCAUACAAAUGUUAAUAAAAAGGAGCUUAAAAGUAAUUUAAAAUAAGUAAAAAUAGGCUUAAGAGUACAAAUAAAGCUUAGUCAAUCAUAUCAUCACAAUUUAGGAUAUUUAUAUGCAGCUUAGGUUUGAAUGUAUUUGCCAUUAAUAAAUACUAAUGAGUAAAAUGUUUGCUCCAUAAACUAUUUAGUGUUAUAAAUCAAUGUAACUUUUUUUUUUUCUCAGAUUAGAGCCGCA